This 251-nucleotide ribosomal RNA is filed under the name uncultured prokaryote. Its description in RNAcentral is "partial 16S rRNA". It matches the Rfam family "Bacterial small subunit ribosomal RNA", at positions 525 to 775 of the family's 1533-position model. The record is from RNAcentral.
ACGGAGGGUGCGAGCGUUAUUCGGAAUUACUGGGCGUAAAGGGCGCGUAGGCGGCUUUGUAAGUCAGAUGUGAAAUCCCACGGCUCAACCUUGGCAUUGCCUUUGAUACUGCAGAGCUUGAGUUCGGGAGAGGGUGGUGGAAUUCCAGGUGUAGGAGUGAAAUCCGUAGAGAUCUGGAGGAACACCAGUGGCGAAGGCGACCUCCUGGCCCGAUACUGACGCUGAGGCGCGAAAGCGUGGGUAGCAAACAG